This 1100-nucleotide ribosomal RNA is filed under the name uncultured soil eukaryote. RNAcentral's name for it is "SSU rRNA". It matches the Rfam family "Eukaryotic small subunit ribosomal RNA", at positions 139 to 1189 of the family's 1831-position model. The record is from RNAcentral.
AUGGAUAUCGUCUCGAAUCGAGACGCUAAUACAUGUAUAACGACCUCAAGAGAACCCUUUGUGGUUUCGUCUUCUACUUCAACUUUUGAAUAUGUAUAAAUCCACGUAUCGAGUGGCUGUUUCUACAGUCAUCUCGAGAGUUCACAGUUCGUACUGAUCCAUCAAUUUGUUUGUGGUAUCUUUGACUAGAAAGAUAUUUACGGAUAACGAAGGAUUAGGGUUCGAUCUCGGAGAGGAGGCCUGAUAUACUGCCUCCACUUCCAAGGAAGGCAGCAGGAGCGAAAAUUACUCAAUGACACAUCGUCGAAGUAGUGACGAAAACUACCAGAGCUAUGCCCGUAUAGGGAUAGUAUUUGGGAUGAGUACAAUUUAAAACCAUUCACGAGCAACAAUAAGAGGGCAAGUCUGGUGCCAGCAGCCGCGGUAAUUCCAGCUCUUAGGGUGUAUCUGGACGUUGUUGCAGUUAAAAAGCUCAUAGCCAAUUUAACAUGUACGACGUUCUUGGAAAGUCAUUCCCGUCAAAAGGUUUGAUUAAAUCCGAAAGGUCAUACUUGAAAACUCUUUCUAGAAACCUUAGGAGUGUAAUAGCGACUUUGGGCUCUGUGCUUGACAUGGGGUAUUCCAUUUUUAGAAAGACGAUAACUUUGAAGAAAUUAGAGUGUUCAUUACAAGCCAGUUGGCUUUGAAUAUAUUAGCAUGGUAUUAUGAAAUACGACUGACUAGUAUUCUCAUAAAGACGAGCUACUGUCAAAGGUAGACCGGGACUAGAUUAGUAAUGAGAGAAAAAGACUGGAUGAGUGGCCUGUAUUUACAAGGGAAAGGUGAAAUUUUAUGAUCUUGUAAAGACAAACUAAUGCGAAAGCACUCCACUGGAAUGUUUUUUUUAGUCAAGAACGAAAGUUCAGGGCGCGAAGAUGCUUAGAUACCAUCGUAGUCUGAACUGUAAACAAUGUUGAUUUAGGAUCUCAGAUCAUUAUUUUAUGACUUCUGAGGCACUACAUGAGAAAUCUAGAAUAUUCGAACUCUGGGGGUAGUAUAGUCGCAAGGCCGAAACUUAAAAGAAUUGACGGAAGAGCACCACAAGGCGUGGAACCUGCGGC